GACGAACGCUGGCGGCGUGCUUAACACAUGCAAGUCGAACGGAAAGGCCCUGCUUUUGUGGGUUGCUCGAGUGGCGAACGGGUGAGUAACACGUGAGUAACCUGCCCUUGUCUUUGGGAUAACUUCAGGAAACUGGGGCUAAUACCGGAUAGGAGCUCCUGCUGCAUGGUGGGGGUUGGAAAGUUUCGGCUGUUGGGGCUGGACUCGCGGCUUAUCCGCUUGUUGGUGGGGUAGUGGCUUACCAAGGCUUUGACGGGUAGCCGGCCUGAGAGGGUGACCGGCCACAUUGGGACUGAGAUACGGCCCAGAAUCCUACGGGAGGCAGCAGUGGGGAAUAUUGCACAAUGGGCGGACGCGUGAUGCAGCAACGCCGCGUGCGGGAUGACGGCCUUCGGGUUGUAAACAGCUUUCGCCUGUGACGAAGCGUGAGUGACGGUAAUGGGUAAAGAAGCACCGGCUAACUACGUG
This 468-nucleotide ribosomal RNA is filed under the name uncultured bacterium. RNAcentral describes it as "partial 16S ribosomal RNA". It matches the Rfam family "Bacterial small subunit ribosomal RNA", at positions 28 to 507 of the family's 1533-position model. The record is from RNAcentral.